Molecule: unclassified non-coding RNA, 376 nt
Filed under: uncultured Actinomycetes bacterium
Lineage: Bacteria; Bacillati; Actinomycetota; Actinomycetes
Description: uncultured actinobacterium contains 16S-23S intergenic spacer region
Source: RNAcentral
UCCGGUUUGGCACCGGCGGUCUCCCUAGAGUCCCCGGCAUGACCCGCUGGCAACUAGGAACAGGGGUUGCGCUCGUUGCGGCACUUAAGCCAACACCUCACGGCACGAGCUGACGACAGCCAUGCAGCACCUGUGCUAGCCCUAUAACGACACGGGCUUUCACCCGCUUUAACUAGCAUGUCAAGCCUAGGUAAGGUUCUUCGCGUUGCAUCGAAUUAAGCCACAUGCUCCGCCGCUUGUGCGGGUCCCCGUCAAUUCCUUUGAGUUUUAACCUUGCGGCCGUACUCCCCAGGCGGAACACUUAACGCGUUGGCUGCGGCACAGGGGGAUUCGACUCCCCCCACACCUAGUGCCCAACGUUUACAGCUAGGACUAC